Molecule: ribosomal RNA, 374 nt
Filed under: uncultured Gaiellaceae bacterium
Lineage: Bacteria; Bacillati; Actinomycetota; Thermoleophilia; Gaiellales; Gaiellaceae
Description: bacterial SSU rRNA
Rfam family: Bacterial small subunit ribosomal RNA
Source: RNAcentral
UACGUAGGGGGCGAGCGUUGUCCGGAAUCAUUGGGCGUAAAGCGCGUGUAGGCGGCUCAGUCAGUCUGGUGUGAAACCUUGGGGCUCAACCCCAAGCCUGCACUGGAUACUGCUGAGCUUGAGUCCGGGAGGGGAGAGCGGAAUUCCUAGUGUAGCGGUGAAAUGCGCAGAUAUUAGGAAGAACACCGGUGGCGAAGGCGACUCUCUGGAACGGUACUGACGCUGAGACGCGAAAGCGUGGGGAGCGAACAGGAUUAGAUACCCUGGUAGUCCACGCCGUAAACGAUGGGCACUAGAUGUGGGCGGUGUCGACUCCGUCCGUGUCGAAGCUAACGCAUUAAGUGCCCCGCCUGGGGAGUACGGCCGCAAGGCUA